AAAGAACUGACUGGAGAUCUGGCUUGAUUUUGACAUUUAAUAAAAUUGGAUGGAUGGAUGCUGUCACAUUGUUGAAAAAAGGCAACUCUGGAGAAGAUGGGCCUGCAGGGGAAAGUCACACCCUUGCUGGCCAAAAAAAAAAGUGAGACAACAAUAAAAAAAAUACAAAGAUUUAAUUAUCCAGGAUCAGGAGAGCGACUCAGCUUGAAGUCCAGUGCUGCUACUGGGCCCUGGUUUGUCCUUAUGAAUGAGGUGUUGGGACAGGCUUUCCUGUUCUAACUGUUAUCCCUGAGGACACCAAAGCCAGAGAAUGAGGAUGAGGAAGGGAGCCAGUCAGCAGAGAAAGGUCCAAAAAGGCAGUGGGACAGAGAUGAUAAGCUGCUGGAGUUAAUGUGAACAUGAGGCUGCAAAGAGAAGCUGAGGAGAGGAGGCCACGGGAAAGAAUGGCAAGGAUAGACCGACUAUUUGCUGUAUUGGAAAGACUAGUACCUAAAUAAAUUGCUGUACAAAUAAAUUGAUUUGGUUUUACCAA
Molecule: long non-coding RNA, 532 nt
Organism: Girardinichthys multiradiatus
Lineage: Eukaryota; Metazoa; Chordata; Actinopteri; Cyprinodontiformes; Goodeidae
Exons: 3
Source: RefSeq, a predicted model, not a curated record